RNAcentral lists this long non-coding RNA (513 nucleotides) under Ananas comosus (pineapple). RNAcentral describes it as "long non-coding RNA (ACOM_LNC042689)". The record is from RNAcentral. Lineage: Eukaryota; Viridiplantae; Streptophyta; Magnoliopsida; Poales; Bromeliaceae.
UUUUUCGCCUGCCCUUCUGAAUGUCCGUUUGAGCUCAAAUUUGACAGUCAGGCUUGGUUUUACUUAACUUAACGAAAGAAACUUUAAUCUUUCAGUUUCGACCACAUUUGGUCACCGAAAGCUCUGCCGAACUGUAAUCUCUAGCACAUAGCAGUCGGAUUUUAUUUUUCACCUUCCGGGUAUCAGAAUGACAUGAAACUUUAAAUCUAGCUUCAUAAAAAUAAUUUUGACAUAUUCUCCAGUUUUCAUAAUUUUCUGACACUGCAUUUUCUGCUAAAAUAUCAGCUCCGUUUCUCACGGAAAAUUCUAAAUCUUCUGUUUUCGUUCCGAUUUUAGCACGAGUCGUUUCCGACUUAUAUUUUACUUCUCUAAAUCCAAUAAAAAUAGUAUCUCGUACUAUUAGAGAUACUAUUUUUAUUUAUUUUUACUUUUUUAUCAAAAUCCGGUAUGUUACAACCAUGAGCCAUCUGUAUCAACAAAGAACACCAUCAAGUAAUAAGGGUCAGCGACAUA